UGGGGAAUAUUGGACAAUGGGCGAAAGCCUGAUCCAGCCAUGCCGCGUGUGUGAAGAAGGUCUUCGGAUUGUAAAGCACUUUAAGUUGGGAGGAAGGGCAGUAAGCGAAUACCUUGCUGUUUUGACGUUACCGACAGAAUAAGCACCGGCUAACUCUGUGCCAGCAGCCGCGGUAAUACAGAGGGUGCAAGCGUUACUCGGAAUUACUGGGCGUAAAGCGCGCGUAGGUGGUUCGUUAAGUUGAAUGUGAAAGCCCCGGGCUCAACCUGGGAACUGCAUCCAAAACUGGCGAGCUAGAGUAGGGCAGAGGGUGGUGGAAUUUCCUGUGUAGCGGUGAAAUGAGUAGAUAUAGGAAGGAACACCAGUGGCGAAGGCGACCACCUGGGCUCAUACUGACACUGAUGUGCGAAAGCGUGGGGAGCAAACAGG
Molecule: ribosomal RNA, 429 nt
Filed under: Pseudomonadota bacterium
Lineage: Bacteria; Pseudomonadati; Pseudomonadota
Description: Proteobacteria bacterium partial 16S ribosomal RNA
Rfam family: Bacterial small subunit ribosomal RNA
Source: RNAcentral